Molecule: long non-coding RNA, 1153 nt
Filed under: Monodelphis domestica (gray short-tailed opossum)
Lineage: Eukaryota; Metazoa; Chordata; Mammalia; Didelphimorphia; Didelphidae
Description: lncRNA (ENSMODG00000046093.1)
Source: RNAcentral
AGCACAUAUACAUUUAAGUACAUGAAAAAUACACAUAAUCUUUUUGAGACCAUCUAUGUGGUUUGGCAUAGGAAAUUCUCCAUGAGGAGACUCCCUUCAACAGGGCAGGCUUCUGCCAGUCCUUCAAUUUAUGGUCCUGGAGAAUUGCCAGAAGCAGUAAAAGGAUGGAGGGACUUGCUCACUAAUCACUUAGCCAAGAGGCAGGACUUGAACUCAAGACAAACUGACUCCAAGUCUGGAUCUCGACCUCUGAUGCAUCAUUGGCUGCCAUGGCAAACAUUUGCCAAAGGAAGCGCCAGAAAACGAGUCUGGCCUCCAUCUAGCUAUUUCCAUACAAAUCCACAAGACCAUGGAUUUAGAGACCAGCUGGAAUAUGGGACCAGAAAUAAAGAAGUACACAUUGAAAUAUGGAAGGCCAUUUGGAUCAGAGCAGCUGCCUUUGGGUGAAGUGAGGACACAGGCAUGAAGAACUGAAGCAACAUGCCUGAAAGCACACGAUUAAAAGUGGCUGAGGUGGGAUUUGAAACCCAAGUCAAGUGCCUUUUCCAAUAACAUGACAAAGGAGAACAUGGUCAGGGACCAUUAUAUCCCUCUACUCUAAGUUGGCCAGACAAAGUUCUGAGAGUUGUGAGUACAAGGAUGCUUGGAAAGAUUCAAGAGGAAUUAAAAACAAAUGCACUUAUUUUAGCAUCUCUACAAGCUGUGGUGUCUCCCGAGAGGUAGGACUCAUUUUCAAAUGGGUCUCUGGAGGAGAGGUGUCUAAGGCUCCCCAUUAGCAGCUCAGUACCCCCAGCUCCCCAACUCAGUAGCUUAAAACAGCCCAGGCAUCUGCUGGGGUAACACUGAGACCAAACACUCAAGUAUUCAAGAUUAUUAUAUUGAGAAGCAAAUGCAAGUUUAUGCAAAUUGAUCAAUAAGACUUAUCUAAUGGGCCAAUAGCUUAGAAGCAAAUGUUCUCAAUGUAUAAUGUCAGCUGGUUUGCAUUAAAAGACCUGGGUCUAAAUUCUGGUUCUGACACUCUGCCUAUGUGAGUCUGGGCAAACCUUUCUACUGCUCUCCCCUGAAAUUCUGGGUCUGUAGAAUGAUGAGAGUACUAGGGAAGCCUGGUCCCUCACAGGGCUUUGGUGAGGAAAGUACUUUACCUAACUUAACG